CCUACGGGCUGCAGCAGUGGGGAAUAUUGCGCAAUGGGGGAAACCCUGACGCAGCAACGCCGCGUGAGUGAAGAAGGCCUUCGGGUUGUAAAGCUCUUUAAUCAGGGACGAAGAAUGCGGGUACCUGAAGACUAAGCUCCGGCUACCUACGUGCCAGCAGCCGCGGUAAUACGUAGGGAGCAAGCGUUACCCGGAUUUACUGGGGGUAAAGGGCGUGUAGGCGGGCUUGCAAGUCAGAAGUGAAAUCUGGGGGCUUAACCCCCAAACUGCUUUUGAAACUGUGGGUCUUGAGUGAGGGGGAGGCAGGCGGAAUUCCCAGUGUAGCGGUGAAAUGCGUAGAUAUUGGGAGGAACACCAGUGGCGAAGGCGGCCUGCUGGACAUUAACUGACGCUGAGGCGCGAAGGCGUGGGGAGCAAACAGGAUUAGAUACCCUAGUAGUC
Molecule: ribosomal RNA, 441 nt
Filed under: uncultured bacterium
Lineage: Bacteria
Description: partial 16S ribosomal RNA
Rfam family: Bacterial small subunit ribosomal RNA
Source: RNAcentral